This 1431-nucleotide long non-coding RNA is filed under the name Macaca mulatta (Rhesus monkey). Its description in RNAcentral is "lncRNA (ENSMMUG00000054972.1)". Lineage: Eukaryota; Metazoa; Chordata; Mammalia; Primates; Cercopithecidae. The record is from RNAcentral.
AUGCCCCUCCUCUCCAGCCUCAACGGGAAUGGAAGUGUUGUGGAGGAAGCAGCUUCUACGCUAAGAGGACAGGCAAUGAGUAGCUGGGUCAGGAAGCAGCCCAGGCGGGGGCUGCCUGGAGGUGAGUGCAAACAUGUUGGAAGGCUGGGCUGCAAGAAGAUAAGAGAUGAGGCUCGAGAGACAAGCAGAAGCCAGAUCCCAAAAUGCCUUCUAAGGCUCUGUCAAGGAGCUUGGGCUUUAUCCUGAACACUAUAGGGAGCCAGAAAGGAGUAAAGGUUAGGAAGUGGUAUGAUAAUGUUUGUGUUUUCGAAUGUUUCCUCUGGUGCAAGUGUGGAGACUAGAUGGGGAGGGGGGUGGGAGAAGGAGAAGGUGGUGGGAGAAGAAGGUGGUGGGAGGAGAAGGUGGUGGGAGAAAGAGAAGGUGGUGGGAGAAGAAGGUGGUGGGAGAAGAAGGUGGGGUGGGAGAGAGAGACUCCAAGUAGGCUUAGUUCUGCUUCCCACUCCCUUCCUCUGACCUAGGCUGGCCUGGUUGUGAUACCUACACUUGCAGGGGCAAUGACAAUGGCUACCAUGUAUAGACAUGUAUGUGGUGCCAGGCACACUGUGGGAUAUGGUACAUGCUUUGUCUUGUUUAAGCCCCAUUAGAACCCUAUGAGGAGGCCGGGCGCAGUGGCUCACACCUGUAAUACCAGCACUUUGGGAGGCCGAGGCAGGUGGGUCACCUGAGGUCAAGAGUUCAAGACCAGUCUGGCCAACAUGGUGAAAUCCCGUCUCUACUAAAAAUUAAAAAAAAAAAAAAACAAGCCAGGCGCGGUGGCUCAAGCCUGUAAUCCCAGCACUUUGGGAGGCCGAGACGAGUGGAUCACGAGGUCAGGAGAUCGAGACCAUCCUGGCUAACCCGGUGAAACCCCGUGUCUACUAAAAAAUACAAAAAAAAACUAGCCGGGUGAGGUGGCGGGCGCCUGUAGUCCCAGCUACUCGGGAGGCUGAGGCAGGAGAAUGGCGUAAACCCGGUAGGCAGAGCUUGCAGUGAGCUGAGAUCCGGCCACUGCGCUCCAGCCUGGGCGACCGAGCGAGACUCCGUCUCAAAAAAAAAAUAAAAAAAAUAAAUAAAAUAAAUAAAAAUUAGCCAGGCGUGAUGGCAGGAGCCUGUAAUCCCAGUUACUCGUGAGGCUGAGGUGGGAGAGUCGCUUGAACCCAGAAGGUGGAGGUUACAGUGAGCUAAGAUCACACCAUUGCACUCUAGCCUGGGCGACAGAGUGAGACUCCGUCUCAAAAAAAAAAAAAAAAAAAAAACCUGUGUCGCUUAAACCCAGAAGGUGGAGGUUACAGUGAGCUAAGAUCAUACCAUUGCACUCCAGCCUGGGCGACAGAGUGAGACUCCGUCUCAAAAAAAAAAAAAAAAAAAACAAAACUGUGAGGUAGAAACUCU